GUGCCAGCAGCCGCGGUAAUACGUAGGGUGCGAGCGUUGUCCGGAAUUAUUGGGCGUAAAGGGCUCGUAGGCGGUUUGUCGCGUCGGGAGUGAAAAUCCAGGGCUUAACUCUGGACUGGCUUUCGAUACGGGCAGACUAGAGGUAUGCAGGGGAGAACGGAAUUCCUGGUGUAGCGGUGAAAUGCGCAGAUAUCAGGAGGAACACCGGUGGCGAAGGCGGUUCUCUGGGCAUUACCUGACGCUGAGGAGCGAAAGUGUGGGGAGCGAACAGGAUUAGAUACCCUGGUAGUCC
Molecule: ribosomal RNA, 292 nt
Filed under: uncultured bacterium
Lineage: Bacteria
Description: partial 16S ribosomal RNA
Rfam family: Bacterial small subunit ribosomal RNA
Source: RNAcentral